RNAcentral lists this ribosomal RNA (464 nucleotides) under uncultured Klebsiella sp. RNAcentral's name for it is "bacterial SSU rRNA". It matches the Rfam family "Bacterial small subunit ribosomal RNA", at positions 338 to 795 of the family's 1533-position model. The record is from RNAcentral. Lineage: Bacteria; Pseudomonadati; Pseudomonadota; Gammaproteobacteria; Enterobacterales; Enterobacteriaceae.
CCUACGGGGGGCAGCAGUGGGGAAUAUUGCACAAUGGGCGCAAGCCUGAUGCAGCCAUGCCGCGUGUGUGAAGAAGGCCUUCGGGUUGUAAAGCACUUUCAGCGGGGAGGAAGGCGGUGAGGUUAAUAACCUCAUCGAUUGACGUUACCCGCAGAAGAAGCACCGGCUAACUCCGUGCCAGCAGCCGCGGUAAUACGGAGGGUGCAAGCGUUAAUUGGAAUUACUGGGCGUAAAGCGCACGCAGGCGGUCUGUCAAGUCGGAUGUGAAAUCCCCGGGCUCAACCUGGGAACUGCAUUCGAAACUGGCAGGCUAGAGUCUUGUAGAGGGGGGUAGAAUUCCAGGUGUAGCGGUGAAAUGCGUAGAGAUCUGGAGGAAUACCGGUGGCGAAGGCGGCCCCCUGGACAAAGACUGACGCGCAGGUGCGAAAGCGUGGGAGCAAACAGGAUUAGAUACCCCUGUAGUC